Molecule: ribosomal RNA, 813 nt
Filed under: uncultured bacterium
Lineage: Bacteria
Description: bacterial SSU rRNA
Rfam family: Bacterial small subunit ribosomal RNA
Source: RNAcentral
AGUCGAGCGAGUCUGCCUUGAAGAUCGGAGUGCUUGCACUCUGUGAAACAAGAUACAGGCUAGCGGCGGACGGGUGAGUAACACGUGGGUAACCUGCCCAAGAGAUCGGGAUAACUCCUGGAAACAGAUGCUAAUACCGGAUAACAACAGAUGAUGCCUAUCAACUGUUUAAAAGAUGGUUCUGCUAUCACUCUUGGAUGGACCUGCGGUGCAUUAGCUAGUUGGUAGGGUAACGGCCUACCAAGGCGAUGAUGCAUAGCCGAGUUGAGAGACUGAUCGGCCACAUUGGGACUGAGACACGGCCCAAACUCCUACGGGAGGCAGCAGUAGGGAAUCUUCCACAAUGGACGCAAGUCUGAUGGAGCAACGCCGCGUGAGUGAAGAAGGGUUUCGGCUCGUAAAGCUCUGUUGUUGGUGAAGAAGGACAGGGGUAGUAACUGACCUUUGUUUGACGGUAAUCAAUUAGAAAGUCACGGCUAACUACGUGCCAGCAGCCGCGGUAAUACGUAGGUGGCAAGCGUUGUCCGGAUUUAUUGGGCGUAAAGCGAGUGCAGGCGGCUCGAUAAGUCUGAUGUGAAAGCCUUCGGCUCAACCGGAGAAUUGCAUCAGAAACUGUCGAGCUUGAGUACAGAAGAGGAGAGUGGAACUCCAUGUGUAGCGGUGAAAUGCGUAGAUAUAUGGAAGAACACCGGUGGCGAAGGCGGCUCUCUGGUCUGUUACUGACGCUGAGGCUCGAAAGCAUGGGUAGCGAACAGGAUUAGAUACCCUGGUAGUCCAUGCCGUANACGAUGAGUGCUAAGUGUUGGGAGGUUU